AUGUUGAAUUGUUGUCAUACUAUCAGCUGUGACUGGAAUUAUGGACAAAUUCGUCUUCCGAGGCCCACGACUGAUUGUACCUGUUGCUCUUCGCUGGUCUCCAUAGCGCACAAAGGACACCAAGGGGAGGUGAGAACUAAACAGUGCCUCCGUGAUCUCUAUUGGUGGCCAGGGAUGAAAGUUCACCAUGCUGUCCGUUCCUGUCAUGUAUGUCAACUCAAUGACAAAACUGUGAAGUCACAUCCUGCUCCUCUUCAGCCGGUGCAACUGCCAGAUGGACCAUGGCAGAAAGUAGCUGUGGAUGUAGUCGGACCGUUUGAUACUGCCGCAUCUGAUUGCAGGUUUGCUAUAACAUUGACUAAUUAUUACAGUAAAUGGCCUGAGGUCUCCUUUACUCACACUGUCACUACAGACUCUGUGGUUUCGUUUCUGUCAUCUGUAUUCAGUCGCCAUGGCAAACCAUUGAGCACAGUUACUGACAACGGCAUUCCAUUUACAUCUGCUGCCUUCGCUGCUUUUCUGGAAAAAUGGAAUAUCCAGCACCAUCAUACCUCUCUCUACUAUCGAGCAGCUAAUGGUGCUGUAGAAGGGUUAAACUGUGUGCUCAAACACUCUGUCCAAAUGGCCAUCCAGCAACAUCUGCCAUGGAAACCUGCUGUAACUGAAUUCUUGCAAGUGUACUGUGCCACUCUGCAUGCUGCAACCGGUACCUCACCUUUUCAGCUCCUCUAUGGCAGGCAAAUGUGCACAAGGCUGUCUAUUCUGCCAUCUCUUCCUGUGUGCUCACCCACGGAUAUGACUGUUUGCCAAAGGGUUACACGGCUGCAACAUAAAAUGAAACUGUAUACUGAUGCCAAACGUGGAGCAAACACUCCUUGCUUCCAGGAGGUGGAUAAAGUGAGAGUUCGCAACCAUCUGCAUGUUCCUAAGGGACACAGGAAGUUCACAGAUCCUCUCACAGUUAACAAGAAACUGGGGGUGGGUACAUAUGUUCUGAGCGAUGGGAAAACUUGGAAUGCUUCUAAACUCCCUCCAUUCCCAUGCACAACAUCAACUCCUGCUGAGAACACUGGUCAAUGUACCAAUACUCAGACCUAA
This is a long non-coding RNA of Cyprinus carpio (common carp), 1098 nucleotides long. The record is from Ensembl. Lineage: Eukaryota; Metazoa; Chordata; Actinopteri; Cypriniformes; Cyprinidae.